AUGAUACUCCCUCCGUCCCAAAAUAAAUGACUCGAUAGUGACUCAACUUUAUACUUAUUAAAGUUAGUAUAAAAUUGAAUCAUUUUUAAGUCAUUUAUUUUGGGACGGAGGAAGUAUUAC
Molecule: non-coding RNA, 120 nt
Organism: Hordeum vulgare subsp. vulgare (domesticated barley)
Lineage: Eukaryota; Viridiplantae; Streptophyta; Magnoliopsida; Poales; Poaceae
Source: Rfam